This 250-nucleotide ribosomal RNA is filed under the name uncultured prokaryote. RNAcentral describes it as "partial 16S ribosomal RNA". It matches the Rfam family "Bacterial small subunit ribosomal RNA", at positions 524 to 773 of the family's 1533-position model. The record is from RNAcentral.
UACGUAGGGGGCAAGCGUUAUCCGGAUUUACUGGGUGUAAAGGGAGCGUAGACGGCCAAGCAAGUCCGAAGUGAAAGCUCGGGGCUCAAUCCCGGAACUGCUUUGGAAACUGCCUGACUGGAGUGCAGGAGAGGUAAGCGGAAUUCCUAGUGUAGCGGUGAAAUGCGUAGAUAUUAGGAGGAACACCAGAGGCGAAGGCGGCUUACUGGACUGUAACUGACGUUGAGGCUCGAAGGCGUGGGGAGCAAAC